Molecule: RNA transcript, 2952 nt
Organism: Vidua chalybeata
Lineage: Eukaryota; Metazoa; Chordata; Aves; Passeriformes; Viduidae
Exons: 7
Source: RefSeq, a predicted model, not a curated record
CCGGGACCCCCGGUCCCGCCAGUGCUAGCUCCGGCCCGUCCCCCCAGGCACUGCGGAGCCCUGCGCGGCUCCAGGAUCCCCCGCGAUGCACAGCGGAGAAUCCCGAGAGAGCCGCGGGAAUGCUCCGAGCAGGGUAGCUGGAAUGGAGGCGCCGUAGAGUAGAAAGGCUGAAUGCUUGGAGUCAAUCACAGAAAAUUUGCUGCUGUCGCAUCAUCCCUUGCCUUGGAGCCCGGCUCAGGCUUACAAUAAUUCCUGUUGCACAUCACAGUGAGCGGCUCCAGGUGUCAACUGAGCAAAGUCAGGAUCAGCUGCAGUUAUUCCAGAGUACGUGUCCAUGUGCAGAACAUUCCGGAACAGAGCAGCAGCAGCAGUAGCAAGAACUGAGAUCGAGCAGGAUGGAGUGGCCGGGCCAAGCCGUGACCCCGCUGGCAGGAGCUGCAGAGUGGACAGCAGAGGGAACAGCUUGGUCGUGAAGAUGCUGUUCUCCUGAAAGAGGAUUCUGUCAAAAACAUGGUUUGGUGCAGGGGAUGGCACGCCAAAGGCAAGACAGCAGCAGACACUUGAAUGGAGACUCCUCGUGUUUACAGCCUGGUCACACGAGCAACUGAGACCUGAAAUCUCCCUGACAUCCUAUCUGGAUGCUUGGCCUUGGAACAGCCUCAUUUGUGCCACACCUGCUUCCUUCCACUCGUGGAGCCUUCUUUUCUGUUCUGCACAGAACACUGGAAAAGUACUUGGAGAUGGCUGGAGAAGGAAGGAGGCUUCCUGGAAAAUGGUCUCUAAACCAGGCCCUUCCCUGUGCCAUGGUUUUUCUGGGACUCAUUAAUAUCAGUGGUUCCUGCUGGAGGAAUUCUGUCACCUUCCCCAGGGCAGCAGAUCUGAGGCCAGACAAGGCAUUGCCACUGACAGGAAAUGGAUCCUCACAAUUGCUCUGCUGAGAUCGCUCACUGCUGUUACUGCUCUUUGAUUCCUGGUGUGUUACUAGUGCUCUGCAUUUGGGACUUGAAUAAUUAACAAAAAGGACUCGUAUUGGGCAUUAUGUAAAUUCUAUAUGUUUUCACACAGCUACUGGGGCCUGUGUUAUAUGUAUCAUUGACAAAAAGAAAAGCAAAUGCAUUUGGUUCUGCCCUGGCUUGUGGGCAAGGGAUCUCAGGGGUCACCUAGGCACAGAGAGGGAAAACCUCUUCCUAACACAUCUCUGUGUUUCUGCAAAUCCCUUUCCAUGGCAAUUUGUACCUCCCCCCAACUUGCUGCAUGUCCCAUGACACCUUACCAUGGACACCAACAAUUCCUGCUCUGUAAGGCAUUUCCCACUUUUCUGGGAGCAAGGGGCUUCCCAUCUCUGCAGCAGGCAUGUGCAGCACGUGGAUUCAUUGCCCUGGAAAACUGGGAAAGCCUACCAGGGGUCUCUGGUAGGUGAGAGGCCUGUGGCCAAGUGCUCAGCUCCGUGAGACAAAUCCCACACCUUCUGGGAUAUGGUUACGUCCCAGAGGAAAGGGGGAUGCUAAAGGACACGUGGCUGCCUCCCUAAAUGAAAAAGAGUGUAAAGCUGUUCAGAUUAGUGCACAUCAAUCCGUGCUGGAAUCAAGAGAUGCUUUGGUUUGGCAGCACUUGGGACAAAGCCACCAUUUCGUUCAAAGUGUAUUUAAUGCGACAGAGGAGGUGGCUUCCUUUGACAGUUUUACAGCUCUUAUCAGAUUACAUCAAAAUUAAAUUAAAACAAUUUAAAAGAAAUGUGAAGCACUGCAGGGAGAACACAAACAAAACACUCCUCUUUGUAGGCUUUCAGGGAAGAGACCACAGUCCUUAUCAGGGAUGGGAGGAUGGAGAUUAUUCUUGAGUCAGUUAUGAGCCCAGUGACUGCAGUGAGCACCGAGACACAGAACAAAGUGGGAAAUACAUCGGGGGGACCAGGAUAAGGCUCCUUAUUUCCUCUUUUUUUGUUAAAUAAAUAACAGAAUGUUGAGCCCUGCUGCGAUUCAACACCCUCAAGCCCCAGCUCAAGCUCCAUAGUGAAAAAAAACCUCCCAGGGUUGCCCAGGAGACAAACUGUGCAGCCCAAUGUGUCAGGGACCAUCAGCCCCUUUCCACCAAUCCCUCAAAACUGGUAUAAAGCUUCCAGUUUUUUCAGUUUGAGAAAAAGGCUUCCAGUAGGCUCAGGAUUUCAGACAGUGCUGAAAGUGCUUGGAAGUCUUGCACUGUUUUAGGUGUUCUUUUAGCGAGCACAAAUAUUUCUGAAACCAGGCCCAGAUUUCACCUGUGGGCUCCAAAACACAUCUUUGCUUUCAGUAAACAGAAGAAGGGGGGAGAACAGUCUUCAUGACAAGUGCUUUUUAUGGAAAUGCAGUACUAAAAGGCUCCCAAAUCCUCUGCUGGGCAUUCCUGGAGUGCGAAAGCUCUGACUCAAGCCAUUGUUCUCCAUAUUCUCCAUACUUUGUUGAGUUGGGUAUUUAGAUGGACACACACGGUCUGAGCCAGGCUAAUUUGGGAGCAGCUGGGUGCCACUACAUCCAUUCCCUUUUCACUCUGUUUAAAUCCAUGAAGCUGAGCUGGAGGCUGCAGGUGUUGGAAACACCAGGAAUGCUGCUGGAUCACCAAAUCCAGUCAAGGAACCCCAAAAAGCUCCCGAUCCCCGGAAGGCCAGGGCAUGUCCCCAGCCAGACCCUGCAGCUCCAGCUGAGCUUUCAUGUGUCUGUUCUUGGCCAGAAGUUCUUACAAAGCGUAAUUAUUGUGAUGAUCUCACACUAAUUGUACACUGAUUGCCAUCCUAAUUAUGCUUAAGCAUUUCACUGCUCUCUGCAAUUUUGUCUAUUGAUGUAUCACUUCUCCUUCAUUUCAAUUAUUCCCGUGGCAUUCAGAUUUUAUUGGGGCCCUGGAAUUUAAGCGCUCAUUUGGCAACUUCCUUUCAAAGGGAUUGAAGUUUUUAUCUGGAAAUGAAAGGUGGGUGUUCUG